GAGUGCCCCAAGCGUUAUCCGGAAUCACUGGGCGUAAAGGGUAUGUAGGUGGUUUUGUUAGUCCUUCGUUAAAGCUCCCGGCUUAACCGGGAAAAUGCGCGGGAAACGGCAAGACUAGAGGGUGUGAGAGGUUUGCAGAACUCAUGGUGUAGGGGUGAAAUCCGUUGAUAUCAUGGGGAAUACCAAAUGCGAAGGCAGCAAACUGGCACAUUCCUGACACUGAGAUACGAAAGCGUGGGUAGCGAAUGGGAUUAGAUACCCCAGCAGUCCACGCCCUAAACGAUCUUCACUGGCUUUUCGGAGUAUCGACCCUCUGGGAGGCGAAGCUAACGCAUUAAGUGAAGCGCCUGGGUAGUACGAUCGCAAGAUUA
Molecule: ribosomal RNA, 371 nt
Filed under: uncultured bacterium
Lineage: Bacteria
Description: bacterial SSU rRNA
Rfam family: Bacterial small subunit ribosomal RNA
Source: RNAcentral